Molecule: ribosomal RNA, 121 nt
Filed under: Prolemur simus (greater bamboo lemur)
Lineage: Eukaryota; Metazoa; Chordata; Mammalia; Primates; Lemuridae
Source: RNAcentral
GUCUAUGGCUAUACUACUCUGAACGCGCCCAAUCUCGUCUGAUCUCGGAAGCUAAACAGGGUUGGGCCUGAUAAGUACUUGGAUGGGAGAAAUAUGAUGAGAAUUAUAGCUACAAUAGCUA